This 67-nucleotide transfer RNA is filed under the name Marmota monax (woodchuck). RNAcentral describes it as "tRNA.Ala". The record is from RNAcentral. Lineage: Eukaryota; Metazoa; Chordata; Mammalia; Rodentia; Sciuridae.
GGUUGUGGCUCAGCGGUAGAGCGCUCGCCUAGCAUGUGUGAGGCCCUGGAUUCGAUCCUCAACACCA